RNAcentral lists this ribosomal RNA (468 nucleotides) under uncultured bacterium. RNAcentral describes it as "partial 16S ribosomal RNA". It matches the Rfam family "Bacterial small subunit ribosomal RNA", at positions 28 to 507 of the family's 1533-position model. The record is from RNAcentral.
GACGAACGCUGGCGGCGUGCUUAACACAUGCAAGUCGAACGGAAAGGCCCUGCUCUUGUGGGGUGCUCGAGUGGCGAACGGGUGAGUAACACGUGAGUAACAUGCCCUUGACUUUGGGAUAACUUCAGGAAACUGCGGCUCAUACCGGGUAGGAGCUACUGCUGCAUGGUGGGGGAUGGAAAGAUUCGGCGGUUGUGGCUGGACUCGAGGCUUAUCGGCUGGUUGGUGGGGUAGUGGCUGUCAAAGCCUUUGAAGGGUAGCCGGCCUGGGAGGGUGACCGGCCACAUGGGGACUGAGGGACGGCCCAGACUCCUACGGGAGGCAGCGGGGGGGAAUAUGGCGCAAUGGGCGGAAGCCUGAUGCAGCAACGCCGCGUGCGGGAUGACGUCCUUCGGGUUGUAAACCGCUGUCUCCGGUGACGAAGCGUGAGUGACGGUAAUGGGUAAAGAAGCACCGGCUAACUACGUG